AUUGAACGCUGGCGGCAUGCUUUACACAUGCAAGUCGAACGGUAACAGGCCUUCGGGUGCUGACGAGUGGCGAACGGGUGAGUAAUGCAUCGGAACGUGCCCAGAGGUGGGGGAUAACGCAGCGAAAGCUGUGCUAAUACCGCAUGUGAUCUGAGGAUGAAAGCGGGGGACCAGGCAGCAAUGUUUGGCCUCGCGCCUUUGGAGCGGCCGAUGUCAGAUUAGGUAGUUGGUGGGGUAAAGGCCUACCAAGCCGACGAUCUGUAGCUGGUCUGAGAGGACGACCAGCCACACUGGGACUGAGACACGGCCCAGACUCCUACGGGAGGCAGCAGUGGGGAAUUUUGGACAAUGGGCGCAAGCCUGAUCCAGCAAUGCCGCGUGGGGGAAGAAGGCCUUCGGGUUGUAAACCGCUUUUGUACGGAACGAAAAGGCUCUGGCUAAUACCUGGGGCUGAUGACGGUACCGUAAGAAUAAGCACCGGCUAACUACGUG
This 492-nucleotide ribosomal RNA is filed under the name uncultured bacterium. RNAcentral describes it as "partial 16S ribosomal RNA". It matches the Rfam family "Bacterial small subunit ribosomal RNA", at positions 30 to 507 of the family's 1533-position model. The record is from RNAcentral.